Molecule: long non-coding RNA, 725 nt
Organism: Hevea brasiliensis (rubber tree)
Lineage: Eukaryota; Viridiplantae; Streptophyta; Magnoliopsida; Malpighiales; Euphorbiaceae
Exons: 3
Source: RefSeq, a predicted model, not a curated record
AAAAAAAAUUGCUAAACAGAUGGGUACAAAGGAUGGGUACAAUUUGAAAAAAAUAAAAGAUGGGUACAUACGUGGAAAAUCAUUCACCAAUCAAAGUUCCACGUUGGAAACGUAAUUGUCAGAGUGGAUGAGAAGUCAAUUGCCUCCCAUCAUUAUACCACUAAUCGCAUUUGCUAAGCUAAGCUUUUUCUUUCUUUUUUCCAAUAUUGCUACUUCCCCUUCAUGUCUUAUCAUCUUCUUCCUCUUUGCAAGCAACUUUCUUUCUCGCUUUCAUCUUAAAGAAUCUUAUACACUGUAUACUCCAUUUAAAUGGUGCAUUUUUUGGAUCUGUAAAAGCCAUUGAGCUGGUGCUUACCGGUGCUCUUGUGUUUUACUUUCAUCAUAUAUGUGUUGUGCCUGAAGUUUUCUGGAACUUUGUUUCCAUUUCUUGGUACUGAAGCUAAAACCUAGUGGACAUUUGAUUGGAAUUUUUGGAGUCCGAAUCUGCAGAAGUGUCAGAAGUAUUCAAGGUUGUCACCUCCUCAACAAUGCAUGUAGGGCCCAUGUAGAUCACAUUAUGUAUUUUGUAUACAAAAAUAUUUCGUAUAUUGUAAUGUAAACUAAGAAUUUGUAAGUAAUAUUUAUGUGAUGUGAAUUAAUAGAUUGAUUAGUUCAUAUGUAAUUAAUUUAUAUAUCAUGUAAAUUAUGAAAUUAUGUAAAUUAAUGAAAUUUGAAAAUUUUGCUUA